ACUCAAAGGAAUUGACGGGGACCCGCACAAGCAGCGGAGCAUGUGGUUUAAUUCGAAGAUACGCGAAAAACCUUACCAAGACUUGACAUCCUUUGCAUAACCCCGAAAUGGGUGAAAUGAUAGCAAUAUCACAAAGUGACAGAUGGUGCAUGGUUGUCGUCAGCUCGUGUCGUGAGAUGUUCGGUUAAGUCCGAUAACGAGCGCAACCCUUGUCGUCAGUUGCCAGCAUUAAGUUGGGCACUCUGGCGAGACUGCCGUGGUAACACGGAGGAAGGUGGGGAUGACGUCAAAUCAUCAUGCCUCUUACGUCUUGGGCUACACACGUGCUACAAUGGUCGUGACAAAGAGCUGCAAGCCAGCAAUGGUAAGCCAAUCUCAAAAAAACGAUCUCAAUUCGGAUUGUGGGCUGAAACUCGCCCACAUGAAGUUGGAGUUGCUAGUAAUCCCGAAUCAGCAUGUCGGGGUGAAUGCGUUCCCGGGUCUUGUACACACCGCCCGU
This 499-nucleotide ribosomal RNA is filed under the name uncultured bacterium. RNAcentral's name for it is "bacterial SSU rRNA". It matches the Rfam family "Bacterial small subunit ribosomal RNA", at positions 899 to 1397 of the family's 1533-position model. The record is from RNAcentral.